This 761-nucleotide ribosomal RNA is filed under the name uncultured bacterium. Its description in RNAcentral is "bacterial SSU rRNA". It matches the Rfam family "Bacterial small subunit ribosomal RNA", at positions 771 to 1532 of the family's 1533-position model. The record is from RNAcentral.
AACAGGAUUAGAUACCCUGGUAGUCCACGCUGUAAACGAUGUCGAUUUGGAGGUUGUGCCCUUGAGGCGUGGCUUCCGGAGCUAACGCGUUAAAUCGACCGCCUGGGGAGUACGGCCGCAAGGUUAAAACUCAAAUGAAUUGACGGGGGCCCGCACAAGCGGUGGAGCAUGUGGUUUAAUUCGAUGCAACGCGAAGAACCUUACCUACUCUUGACGUCCAGAGAACUUUCCAGAGAUGGAUUGGUGCCUUCGGGAACUCUGAGACAGGUGCUGCAUGGCUGUCGUCAGCUCGUGUUGUGAAAUGUUGGGUUAAGUCCCGCAACGAGCGCAACCCUUAUCCUUUGUUGCCAGCGGUUCGGCCGGGAACUCAAAGGAGACUGCCAGUGAUAAACUGGAGGAAGGUGGGGAUGACGUCAAGUCAUCAUGGCCCUUACGAGUAGGGCUACACACGUGCUACAGUGGCAUAUACAAAGAGAAGCGACCUCGCGAGAGCAAGCGGACCUCAUAAAGUAUGUCGUAGUCCGGAUUGGAGUCUGCAACUCGACUCCAUGAAGUCGGAAUCGCUAGUAAUCGUAGAUCAGAAUGCUACGGUGAAUACGUUCCCGGGCCUUGUACACACCGCCCGUCACACCAUGGGAGUGGGUUGCAAAAGAAGUAGGUAGCUUAACCUUCGGGAGGGCGCUUACCACUUUGUGAUUCAUGACUGGGGUGAAGUCGUAACAAGGUAACCGUAGGGGAACCUGCGGCUGGAUCACCUCCUU